RNAcentral lists this ribosomal RNA (494 nucleotides) under uncultured bacterium. RNAcentral describes it as "partial 16S ribosomal RNA". It matches the Rfam family "Bacterial small subunit ribosomal RNA", at positions 28 to 507 of the family's 1533-position model. The record is from RNAcentral.
GAUGAACGCUGGCGGCGUGCUUAACACAUGCAAGUCGAACGAAGCACCUCUCCCGAAGAUUGACACAGCUUGCUGUAGAUUGAUUCAUUUGAGGUGACUGAGUGGCGGACGGGUGAGAACGCGUGGGUAACCUGCCUCAUAGAGGGGGACAACAGUUGGAAACGACUGCUAAUACCGCAUAGUAAGAAGAAUUCGCAUGUUUUCUUCUUGAAAGAUUUAUCGCUAUGAGAUGGACCCGCGUCUGAUUAGCUAGUUGGUAAGGUAACGGCUUACCAAGGCGACGAUCAGUAGCCGGCUUGAGAGAGUGAACGGCCACAUUGGGACUGAGACACGGCCCAAACUCCUACGGGAGGCAGCAGUGGGGAAUAUUGCACAAUGGGGGAAACCCUGAUGCAGCGACGCCGCGUGAGUGAAGAAGUAUUUCGGUAUGUAAAGCUCUAUCAGCAGGGAAGAUAAUGACGGUACCUGACUAAGAAGCCCCGGCUAACUACGUG